Molecule: ribosomal RNA, 375 nt
Filed under: uncultured eukaryote
Lineage: Eukaryota
Description: partial 18S ribosomal RNA
Rfam family: Eukaryotic small subunit ribosomal RNA
Source: RNAcentral
CAAUAGCGUAUAUUUAAGUUGUUGCAGUUAAAAAGCUCGUAGUUGGAUUUCGGUUAAGAGCGACCGGUCCGCCGUUUGGUGUGCACUGGUUGGUUUUAACUUCCUGUAGAGGACGUGCUCUGGGUUUAACGACCUGGACUCGGAGUCUACGUGGUUACUUUGAAAAAAUUAGAGUGUUCAAAGCGGGCUUACGCUUGAAUAUUUCAGCAUGGAAUAACACUAUAGGACUCCUGUCCUAUUUCGUUGGUCUCGGGACGGGAGUAAUGAUUAAGAGGAACAGUUGGGGGCAUUCGUAUUUCAUUGUCAGAGGUAAAAUUCUUGGAUUUAUGAAAGACGAACUUCUGCGAAAGCAUUUGCCAAGGAUGUUUUCAUUAA